Long non-coding RNA from Corvus hawaiiensis (hawaiian crow), 2440 nucleotides. RefSeq lists it as uncharacterized. Lineage: Eukaryota; Metazoa; Chordata; Aves; Passeriformes; Corvidae. The transcript is spliced from 4 exons. The record is from RefSeq and is a predicted model, not a curated record.
GCAUGGUGACAAGGUGGCAGUGAUGGCGGCACGGUGACAGUGAUGGUGACACAGUGAUAGUGAUGGUGACAGGGUGACAGUGAUGGUGGCACAGUGACAGUGAUGGUGACAAGGUCACAGCAAUGGUGACAGCGAUGGUGGCACGGUGACAGUGAUGGUGGCACGAUGACAGCGAUGGUGACAAGGUCACAGCAAUGGUGACAGCGAUGGUGGCACGAUGACAGUGAUGGUGGCACGGUGACAGUGAUGGUGACAAGGUCACAGCAAUGAUGGCAUGGUGACAAGGUGGCAGUGAUGGUGGCACGGUGACAGUGAUGGUGACAGGGUGACAGUGAUGGUGGCACGGUGACAGCAAUGGUGACACAGUGAUAGUGAUGGUGGCACAGUGACAGUGAUGGUGGCACAGUGACAGUGAUGGUGACAAGGUCACAGCAAUGGUGGCAUGGUGACAAGGUGGCAGUGAUGGUGGCACGGUGACAGUGAUGGUGACACGGUGACAGCAAUGGUGGCACGGCGACAGUGAUGGUGACAUGGGGACACUGAUGGUGACACGGUGACAGCGAUGGUGGCACGGUGACAGUGAUGGUGACACGGUGACAGCAAUGGUGGCACGGUGACAGUGAUGGUGACAUGGGGACAGUGAUGGUGACAAGGUGACAGCAAUGGUGGCACGGCGACAGUGAUGGUGACAUGGGGAUACUGAUGGUGGCACGGUGACAGCGAUGGUGACACAGUGACAGCGAUGGUGGCAUGGUGACAGCGAUGGUGAGUGACAGUGAUGGUGGCACAGUGACACUGAUGGUGACGCGGUGACUGAUGGUGACAAGGUGACAGCGAUGGUGGCACGGUGACAGUGAUGGUGGCAUAUGACACUGAUGGUGACAUGGUGACAGUGACGGUGGCACGGUGACAGUGAUGGUGGCAUGGUGACAGCGAUGGUGGCACGGUGACAGUGAUGGUGGCAUGCUGACAGUGAUGGUGACACGGUGACAGCACUGUGGUGACGGUGAUGGUGACACUGCGGUGACAGUGAUGUGGUGACGGUGAUGCGGUGACCUGCGGGGGGUCGGGGACAAGGUGACACGGGCACGGUGACGACGGUGACACGGUGACGAGUUGGUGGUGACACAGCAGGGGUGACAAGGGACACAGAGCCACGGCUCCGUACGCUGGAUACGGGGGACGCUGGGGACGGGGUGAAGUGGUGGCAGGGUGACGCGGUGAGAGGGUGCCAUGGUGACAGGGUGGCACAGUGACAGGGUGACACAGUGAGAGGGUGACACGGUAACAGGGUGGCACGGUGACAGGGUGCCAUGGUGGCAGGGUGGCACAGUGACAGGGUGACACAGAGGGUGACACGGUAACAGGGUGACAGGGUGCCAUGGUGGCAGGGUGGCACAGUGACACGGUGACGGUGCCAUGGUGACAGGGUGCCACGGUGACAGUGACAUAGUGCCAUGGUGCCAGGGUGCCACGGGUACACGGUGACAGUGACAUGGUGCCAUGGUGCCAGGGUGACAGGAUGCCACAUGUACAUGGUGACAGUGACACAGUGACAGGGUGCCACGGGUACAUGGUGACACAGUGACACAGUGCCAUGGUGCCAGGGUGACAGGAUGCCACAUGUACAUGGUGACAGUGACAUGGUGACAGGGUGCCACGGGUACACGGUGAGACGGUGACAGUGACACAGUGACAUGGUGCCAUGGUGACAGGGUGAUGUGGUGACACGGUGACAGAGUGCCACGGUGCCAGGGUGCCACAGGUACACAGUGACACGGUGACAGUGUGACAGGUACAUGGUGCCAGGGUGCCAGAGUGAUGUGGUGACAUGGUGCCAGAGUGACAGGGUGCCACGGGUACACAGUGACACAGUGACAGGGUGACACGGGUACAUGGUGCCAGGGUGACAGGGUGAUGUGGUGCCACGGUGACAUGGUGACAUGGUUACAGUGACAGGGUGAUGUGGUGCCAUGGUGCCAGGGUGCCACAGGUACACGGUGACACAGUGACAGGGUGACAGGGUGAUGUGGUGACACGGUGACAAGGUGCCAUGGGUACAUGGGUACAUGGUGACAGUGACAUGGUGCCAGGGUGCCAUGGGUACACGGUGACAGUGACACAGUGACAGGGUGCCAGGGUGACAGGUGAUGUGGUGCCAUGGUGCCAGGGUGCCACAGGUACACGGUGACAGUGCCAGGGUGCCACGGGUACACGGUGACAGUGCCACGUGUACACGGUGACAGUGCCAGGGUGCCACAGGUACACGGUGACAGUGCCACAGGUACACGGUGACAGUGCCAGGUGCCACGGGUACACGGUGACAGUGCCACAGGUACAUGGUGACAGUGCCAGGGUGCCACGGGUACACGGUGACAGUGACAGGGUGACAGGGUGCCAUGGUGCCAGGGUGCCACGGGUACACGGUGCCAGUCCUUAG